This 75-nucleotide transfer RNA is filed under the name Fucus distichus. RNAcentral's name for it is "tRNA-Glu". It matches the Rfam family "tRNA". From Rfam's summary of the family: Transfer RNA (tRNA) molecules are approximately 80 nucleotides in length. Their secondary structure includes four short double-helical elements and three loops (D, anti-codon, and T loops). Lineage: Eukaryota; Phaeophyceae; Fucales; Fucaceae. The record is from RNAcentral.
GUCUCUUUCGUCUAGUGGUUAGGACAUUGCUUUUUCACGGCAAAGAUAUGGGUUCAAUUCCCAUAAGAGAUUUUA